RNAcentral lists this ribosomal RNA (520 nucleotides) under uncultured Glomus. RNAcentral's name for it is "SSU rRNA". It matches the Rfam family "Eukaryotic small subunit ribosomal RNA", at positions 569 to 1091 of the family's 1831-position model. The record is from RNAcentral. Lineage: Eukaryota; Fungi; Glomeromycota; Glomeromycetes; Glomerales; Glomeraceae.
AGCAGCCGCGGUAAUUCCAGCUCCAAUAGCGUAUAUUAAAGUUGUUGCAGUUAAAAGCUCGUAGUUGAAUUUCGGGAUCAAAUUGUCGGUCGUGCCUCGGUACGUACUGGUAUUAUUGGUUCCUCCCUUCUGACGAACCACGAUGUCAUUAAUUUGGUGUCAUGGGAAAUCAGGACUGUUACUUUGAAAAAAAUUAGAGUGUUUAAAGCAGGCUCGCGCUUGAAUACAUAGCAUGGAAUAAUGAAAUAGGACGUUUGAUUCUAUUUUGUUGGUUUCUAGGAUCGACGUAAUGAUUAAUAGGGAUAGUUGGGGGCAUUAGUAUUCAAUUGUCAGAGGUGAAAUUCUUGGAUUUAUUGAAGACUAACUACUGCGAAAGCAUUUGCCAAGGAUGUUUUCAUUAAUCAAGAACGAAAGUUAGGGGAUCGAAGACGAUCAGAUACCGUCGUAGUCUUAACCAUAAACUAUGCCGACUAGGGAUCGGAUGAUGUUAAUUUUUUUAAUGACUCAUUCGGCGCCUUAC